This 606-nucleotide ribosomal RNA is filed under the name Tetrahymena sp. SIN. RNAcentral describes it as "partial small subunit ribosomal RNA". It matches the Rfam family "Bacterial small subunit ribosomal RNA", at positions 978 to 1501 of the family's 1533-position model. Lineage: Eukaryota; Ciliophora; Oligohymenophorea; Hymenostomatida; Tetrahymenidae. The record is from RNAcentral.
CGUUUUAGGCUUUAAUAGUAAUAUGAUUAAUAUCAUAAUUAAAAGAUAAAGUUCGGAAUUGCAUGGCUGUCGUCAGUUCGUGCUGUGAAGUUUAGAAUUAAGUUUUUCUUAACGAAUGUAACCCUAUAAGUAAGUUUCUAUUUUUUAAUAAAUAAUUUUAUAAAAUAUUCUUACUUAUUCUAUAGUCAAUUUUAAAAAAAUCUUUUUUUUUAUUAUUGACUAUAGGGGUUUUAGGCUGAAGUCAAGUCCCUAUGGUCUUUAUACGUUGGGCUACACACGUGUUACAAGGGUAAAAACAAAGAGACGCAAUAGAGUAAUCUGGAGCAAAUCUCUAAAAAUUACCUUAGUUCAGAUUGUUUUAUGAAAUUCUAAAACAUGAAGAUGAAAUCGUUAGUAAUUGUAAAUUAUAAUGUUACAGUGAAAUAAUAGUCAAAUUUUGCACACACCGCCCAUCACGCUCGAAAAGUCGAUAUUAGUGGAAGAUUUUAAAAUUUCUACAUUAUAUUAAAAAUUUAUUUUUAAUUAUUAUUAUUAUUUAAUAGUGUAGUUAAUUAGUAGUAUUUAAUCUAGUAUUGGUGAUUUGAGUGAAGUUGACACAAGGUACUG